Molecule: long non-coding RNA, 453 nt
Organism: Octopus sinensis (East Asian common octopus)
Lineage: Eukaryota; Metazoa; Mollusca; Cephalopoda; Octopoda; Octopodidae
Exons: 3
Source: RefSeq, a predicted model, not a curated record
AGAGAGAGAACAAAUGAAAGGAACAAGAAGGAUGGGGAAAAAUAGAAAAGAAAAAGAAAAAGGAAGACACAAACUGGCAGUGUUGAGUCCCAUCCCACACCCACCCAGAGCCCACUUUUCCACACUCUUUCUCUGCAACCACCAGUCCUUCCCCUAAUCCGGGUAACAUGGAAAAAACUUGUAUGGACUCGUGGGUUUCCCAAAACUCACAAUCCCCUCCCCAUAAAAUAAAAAAAAAAACAACAAAAAAACAAAGGAACAAAAGUAUUAAUUUUCUAUGAUCUAAUGAAUAAACAGUUGGUAGCUGAAAUAAAGACUUUGGAAAGCAUGAGAUUGGUACAAAAUCCCCAUGCAUUUAUCUCUGGAGGUGUGUCUUCCACCUUCAUCUUGGAAGUACGUCUUCCCCGGUGGGUGGGUAGGAACACUAUCUCCUCGUUUUCGGCGGGGUUACAG